UACUCCUACGGGAGGCAGCAGUGGGGAAUAUUGCACAAUGGGGGAAACCCUGAUGCAGCCAUGCCGCGUGUGUGAAGAAGGCCUUCGGGUUGUAAAGCACUUUCAGCGAGGAGGAAAGGGAGUAACUAAUAUCUGGUGGCUGUGACGUUACUCGCAGAAGAAGCACCGGCUAACUCCGUGCCAGCAGCCGCGGUAAUU
RNAcentral lists this ribosomal RNA (198 nucleotides) under uncultured bacterium. RNAcentral's name for it is "partial 16S ribosomal RNA". It matches the Rfam family "Bacterial small subunit ribosomal RNA", at positions 334 to 525 of the family's 1533-position model. The record is from RNAcentral.